GAUGAGGGAAACUUUAGUUUCUUCAAUGCUUGGAGAUACCUGGGUAUAUUAUUCACUUUGUCACAACUGUUUGGCAUGUACUCCCUGCUGUUUUACCAAGUCCUAAAGGAAAACCACAGUCUUAUACAACCUGUUAGCAAGUUUCUCUGUGUGAAACUAUUGGUUUAUGUUUCCUUUUGUCAAGCACUACUUAAUGUUUUGUUGGUUAUUAUAAAGUGUUCCUGGGAAUGGCAAAGUGCAGAAUUUGUGGCCAUAGGCCUGCAGGGUUUAAUAACCUGAAUUAAAAUGUUCCUUAUGGAGGGCACCCAUCACUUUACGUUCUCUGAGUCAGA
RNAcentral lists this long non-coding RNA (332 nucleotides) under Mus musculus (house mouse). RNAcentral describes it as "long non-coding RNA chr4:121641445-121641777". Lineage: Eukaryota; Metazoa; Chordata; Mammalia; Rodentia; Muridae. The record is from RNAcentral.